GAAAAGCACCCCGGGAGGGGAGUGAAACAGUACCUGAAACCGUGCGCCCACGAGCAGUCGGAGCAACUUUUAAGUUGUGACGGCGUGCCUUUUGUAGAAUGAGCCAGCGAGUCGCUGGCGCGGGGCGAGGUUAACCGAAAGGGAGCCGGAGCGAAAGCGAGCCUUAACAGGGCGACUUGAGUCCCGCGCCGCGGACGCGAAGCCGGGUGAGCUAUCCGUGGGCAGGCUGAAGCGGGGGUAAGACCCCGUGGAGGGCCGAACGCACGUCGGUUGAAAACGGCGGCGAUGACCUGCGGAUAGGGGUGAAAGGCCAAUCAAACCCGGAGAUAUCUCGUUCUCCCCGAAAUAGCUUUAGGGCUAGCGUCGCGCGUUCACCGCCGGAGGUAGAGCACCGGAUGGACGAGGGGGCUUCGCCGCCUACCGAAUCCAACCGAACUCCGAAUGCCGGCGGCCCAGAGCGCGGCAGUCAGAGCAUGUGGGCUAAGCUGUGUGCUCGAGAGGGAAACAGCCCGGACCGCCCGCUAAGGUCCCCAAGUUCCAGCCGAGUGGCAAAGGAUGUGCGUCCGCCCAGACAACCAGGAUGUUGGCUUAGAAGCAGCCAUCCAUUCAAAGAGUGCGUAACAGCUCACUGGUCGAGUGGACAUGCGCCGACAAUACACGGGGCUAAGCUGGACACCGAAGCGGCGGGAUUUUAAUUCAUUAGAAUCGGUAGGGGAGCUUCCCAUGGGCGGAGAAGCCGGAGGGCGACCGACGGUGGAGCGCAUGGGAGUGAGAAUGCUGGCAUGAGUAGCGAGAGACGAGAGAGUAACUCGUCCGCCGUGAACCCGAGGUUUCCUGGGCAAGGCUAAUCCUCCCAGGGUCAGUCGGGGGCUAAGGCGAGGCCGGUAGGCGUAGCCGACGCGCAGCAGGCAGACAUUCCUGCACCGCGCACGCGGCGCUACGACCGACGGGGCGACGGAUGGGGGUGGCUCGGCGGGGUUCUGGACGUCCCCGUGAUGGAGCGCGGCCCGCGGACCAGGGAAAUCCGGUCCGCAUUGAGGGCGAGGCUCCGGACGAAGCGAUUGAGCGAAGCGAGUGAGCCCGAGGUCCCUAGAAAAACCCCUAGGCAGGCGCGUGCGCGCCCGUACCGCAAACCGACACAGGUGGGUGGGUAGAACAUACCGAGGCGAUCGGGUCAACCAUGGUCAAGGAACUCGGCACAAUGGCCCCGUAACUUCGGGAGAAGGGGUGCCCGCGCGUACGUGAACCGGCUCGCCCGGGGAGCGGAGGGGGGCCGCAGUGGAGAGGCCCAAGCGACUGUUUACCAAAAACACAGGACUCUGCAGAAGCCGCAAGGCGACGUAUAGGGUCUGACGCCUGCCCGGUGCCGGAAGGUCACGCGGAGGAGUUAGCCGAUUCGGCGAAGCCCCGAAGCCAAGCCCCGGUAAACGGCGGCCGUAACUAUAACGGUCCUAAGGUAGCGAAAUUCCUUGUCGGGUAAGUUCCGACCUGCACGAAAGGCGCAACGACUUGGGCGCUGUCUCGACCAUGGACCCGGUGAAAUUGCACUGGUCGUGAAGAUGCGACUUACCCGCGGAAGGACGGAAAGACCCCGUGAACCUUCACUGCAGCUUGGCAUUGGCCGCUGGUCCCGCGUGUAGAGGAUAGGCAGGAGGCACAGAUCCGGAGGCGCCAGCCCCCGGGGAGCCGCCCUUGGAAUACUGCCCUCGCGCGACCGGCGUCCUAACCCGAGGCCGUCAACCGGCUCGGGGACCGUGCCAGGCGGGCAGUUUGACUGGGGCGGUCGCCUCCUAAAGGGUAACGGAGGCGCGCGAAGGUCCGCUCGGGACGGUCGGCAACCGUCCUUUUGAAUGCAAGAGUACAAGCGGGCUUGACUGCGAGGCCCACAAGCCGAGCAGGUGCGAAAGCAGGCUCUAGUGAUCCGGCGGCCCCGAGUGGGUGGGCCGUCGCUCAACGGAUAAAAGGUACUCCGGGGAUAACAGGCUGA
This 1987-nucleotide ribosomal RNA is filed under the name human gut metagenome. Its description in RNAcentral is "bacterial LSU rRNA". It matches the Rfam family "Bacterial large subunit ribosomal RNA", at positions 516 to 2485 of the family's 2925-position model. The record is from RNAcentral.